RNAcentral lists this ribosomal RNA (865 nucleotides) under uncultured bacterium. RNAcentral's name for it is "bacterial SSU rRNA". It matches the Rfam family "Bacterial small subunit ribosomal RNA", at positions 592 to 1456 of the family's 1533-position model. The record is from RNAcentral.
UCUUAAAAGUUCGGGGNUUAACCCCGUGAUGGGAUGGAAACUGCUGAUCUAGAGUAUCGGAGAGGAAAGUGGAAUUCCUAGUGUAGCGGUGAAAUGCGUAGAUAUUAGGAAGAACACCNGUGGCGAAGGCGACUUUCUGGACGAAAACUGACGCUGAGGCGCGAAAGCCAGGGGAGCGAACGGGAUUAGAUACCCCGGUAGUCCUGNCCGUAAACGAUGGGUACUAGGUGUAGGAGGUAUCGACCCCUUCUGUGCCGGAGUUAACGCAAUAAGUACCCCGCCUGGGGAGUACGACCGCAAGGUUGAAACUCAAAGGAAUUGACGGGGGCCCGCACAAGCGGUGGAGUAUGUGGUUUAAUUCGACGCAACGCGAAGAACCUUACCAGGUCUUGACAUUGAUGGACAGAACCAGAGAUGGUUCCUCUUCUUCGGAAGCCAGAAAACAGGUGGUGCACGGUUGUCGUCAGCUCGUGUCGUGAGAUGUCGGGUUAAGUCCCGCAACGAGCGCAACCCCUAUCUUAUGUUGCCAGCACUUUGGGUGGGGACUCAUGAGAGACUGCCGCAGACAAUGCGGAGGAAGGCGGGGAUGACGUCAAAUCAUCAUGCCCCUUAUGACCUGGGCUACACACGUACUACAAUGGGAGUUAAUAGACGGAAGCGAGAUCGCGAGAUGGAGCAAACCCGAGAAACACUCUCUCAGUUCGGAUCGUAGGCUGCAACUCGCCUACGUGAAGUCGGAAUCGCUAGUAAUCGCAGGUCAGCAUACUGCGGUGAAUACGUUCCCGGGCCUUGUACACACCGCCCGUCACACCACGAAAGUCGGAAGUGCCCAAAGCCGGUGGGGUAACCUUCGGGANCCAGCCGU